This 446-nucleotide ribosomal RNA is filed under the name uncultured bacterium. Its description in RNAcentral is "SSU rRNA". It matches the Rfam family "Bacterial small subunit ribosomal RNA", at positions 26 to 518 of the family's 1533-position model. The record is from RNAcentral.
AGAGCGAACGCUGGCGGCAGGCUUAACACAUGCAAGUCGAGCGGGCGUAGCAAUACGUCAGCGGCAGACGGGUGAGUAACGCGUGGAACGUACCUUUGGUUCGGAACAACUGAGGGAACUUCAGCUAAUACCGAAUAAGCCCUUACGGGGAAAGAUUUAUCGCCGAAAGAUCGGCCCGCGGCUGAUUAGCUUGUUGGUGAGGUAAUGGCUCACCAAGGCGACGAUCAGUAGCUGGUCUGAGAGGAUGAUCAGCCACAUUGGGACUGAGACACGGCCCAAACUCCUACGGGAGGCAGCAGUGGGAAUAUUGGACAAUGGGCGCAAGCCUGAUCCAGCCAUGCCGCGUGAGUGAUGAAGGCCCUAGGGUUGUAAAGCUCUUUUGUGCGGGAAGAUAAAUGACGGUACCGCAAGAAUAAAGCCCCGGCUAACUUCGUGCCAGCAGCCGC